RNAcentral lists this ribosomal RNA (479 nucleotides) under uncultured bacterium. Its description in RNAcentral is "partial 16S ribosomal RNA". It matches the Rfam family "Bacterial small subunit ribosomal RNA", at positions 28 to 523 of the family's 1533-position model. The record is from RNAcentral.
GACGAACGCUGGCGGCGUGCUUAACACAUGCAAGUCGAACGGUAAGGCCCUUCGGGGUACACGAGUGGCGAACGGGUGAGUAACACGUGGGUGAUCUGCCCUGCACUUCGGGAUAAGCCUGGGAAACUGGGUCUAAUACCGGAUAGGACCCUGGGAUGCAUGUCCUGGGGUGGAAAGCUUUUGCGGUGUGGGAUGGGCCCGCGGCCUAUCAGCUUGUUGGUGGGGUGAUGGCCUACCAAGGCGACGACGGGUAGCCGGCCUGAGAGGGCGACCGGCCACACUGGGACUGAGAGACGGCCCAGACUCCUACGGGAGGCAGCAGUGGGGAAUAUUGCACAAUGGGCGCAAGCCUGAUGCAGCGACGCCGCGUGAGGGAUGACGGCCUUCGGGUUGUAAACCUCUUUCAGCACCGACGAAGCGCAAGUGACGGUAGGUGCAGAAGAAGGACCGGCCAACUACGUGCCAGCCGCCGCCCGUAA